UGUCAAUACUGUGUCCCUUGCCACUGUCUUUCUGAUGCUCUCGGCGAUCAAUUUCACUCUUUUUAUCCAAGUCUCGCUUCCGCUCAUUUUCCUUGCUAGCUCUUCUUUCCAGUUCUUCUACAUCAGAGUUGCUCUUACUAGACCCCUUGUCUUUCUCUUUUCCUUUUUCCUGAUGCUUCUUUUCAACUUCCUUCCGACUCUCUUUCUCUUUAGUAGGAAGUGAUGAUUUGCUGCGAUCUUUUUCAGCUUCCAUUUUCUCAUCUCUAAGUUUCCUACGCUCCUCCACUAACCUUGCAACCUCCUCCCUCUGUUUCCUUU
Molecule: long non-coding RNA, 318 nt
Filed under: Lupinus mutabilis
Lineage: Eukaryota; Viridiplantae; Streptophyta; Magnoliopsida; Fabales; Fabaceae
Description: partial ncRNA
Source: RNAcentral